Molecule: long non-coding RNA, 215 nt
Filed under: Salvia miltiorrhiza (redroot sage)
Lineage: Eukaryota; Viridiplantae; Streptophyta; Magnoliopsida; Lamiales; Lamiaceae
Description: long non-coding RNA (SMIL_LNC003477)
Source: RNAcentral
UUGAAAUUUAGAUGUAGUAAAUUUUGUGUAGUAAUUUUAUUUGAAGUAAUUUUAUGUAAAGUAUUUUUGUAUUUUAAUUCAAAUAUAUUAAAUAAAACUUUUCAAUUUUUCUAAAUUCCAGAAAAUUUAAAUAAGGGUAGAAAAGUCAUAAAGGCUACUAUUUCCAUAUUUUGUUUUUGGUGGACAAUUUUUCCUUUUGUUAUGUGGGAUUGGCU